RNAcentral lists this ribosomal RNA (500 nucleotides) under uncultured bacterium. RNAcentral's name for it is "partial 16S ribosomal RNA". It matches the Rfam family "Bacterial small subunit ribosomal RNA", at positions 30 to 523 of the family's 1533-position model. The record is from RNAcentral.
AUUGAACGCUGGCGGCAUGCCUUACACAUGCAAGUCGAACGGAUUCAAGGGGCUUGCUCCUUGAGUUAGUGGCGAACGGGUGAGUAAUGCAUCGGAACGUACCCAGUUGUGGGGGAUAACGUAGCGAAAGUUACGCUAAUACCGCAUACGACCUGAGGGUGAAAGCGGGGGAUCGCAAGACCUCACGCAAUUGGAGCGGCCGAUGUCAGAUUAGCUAGUUGGUAGGGUAAAAGCCUACCAAGGCGACGAUCUGUAGCUGGUCUGAGAGGACGACCAGCCACACUGGGACUGAGACACGGCCCAGACUCCUACGGGAGGCAGCAGUGGGGAAUUUUGGACAAUGGGGGAAACCCUGAUCCAGCCAUGCCGCGUGAGUGAAGAAGGCCUUCGGGUUGUAAAGCUCUUUCGGACAGAAAGAAAUCUUUUGGGCUAAUACCCUGAGAGGAUGACGGUACUGUAAGAAGAAGCACCGGCUAACUACGUGCCAGCAGCCGCAGUAA